Molecule: long non-coding RNA, 588 nt
Filed under: Rattus norvegicus (Norway rat)
Lineage: Eukaryota; Metazoa; Chordata; Mammalia; Rodentia; Muridae
Description: long non-coding RNA NONRATT007516
Source: RNAcentral
GGCCAGGGUGAGACGAUGUGGACACGCACAGCCCACUUUUUGGCAUCAUCUCCGGACGACAGUGGCUACAACCUGUGGGAAGAUAAGCUGUGUCAGCCGACUAGCAGCAAGGGCUGGAUGCGAACCCGGGUGCUAGGGUACAGCCCGCCAAUCAACACAUCUCUGUUGGGGUGGGAUCGGCCAAUCAAAGGGUCCUUGAUAGAAGGCGGAGCCUGCCAACCAAAGGCUGUCCCUAGGAAGAGGCAGAAACCACGAAUCUACUAAACGGGGUGGGGGUGCAGGGGCGCGUGGUGAUGGGGGAUGCACUGCGCUUGCGGUUCAGCAUCCAUUUCCUCGGGUUCUUCAUUUCCUCUGGGCCUGCAAGACAAAUACCCAGGGCCCGGACCACAGCAGAGGGGAAUUAAGACAGGGAGGUGAACCUGGGAGGCUGCCUGGCAGAGGUGGCGCCAGCUGCCGGUGGGUGGAGCCUCGUAGCCCUGCCCUGUAGCCCCGCCCCCGCCCUGUCGCUCAACUGGGCUCUAGCCAAGCGCGCAGCAUCCAGCGCUGCGGCUCCGGGCUAUGGACGCCCCGGGUGCUCCGGCCCCAGCC